RNAcentral lists this ribosomal RNA (407 nucleotides) under uncultured bacterium. RNAcentral's name for it is "partial 16S ribosomal RNA". It matches the Rfam family "Bacterial small subunit ribosomal RNA", at positions 360 to 774 of the family's 1533-position model. The record is from RNAcentral.
AAUAUUGCGCAAUGGAGGGAACUCUGACGCAGCGACGCCGCGUGAGCGAUGAAGGUUUUCGGAUCGUAAAGCUCUGUCCUUGGGGAAGAAGGUCUUCGGACUUGACGGUACCUAAGGAGGAAGCCCCGGCUAACUACGUGCCCGCAGCCGCGGUAAUACGUAGGGGGCAGGCUGUGUCCGGAAUCAGUGGGCGUGAAGGGUGCGUUGGCGGCCUUUUAAGUCAGGUGAGAAAGCCCACGGCUUAACCGUGGGAUUGCAUUUGAAACUGGAAGGCUUGAGUAUCGGAGAGGGUAGUGGAAUGCCCAGUGUAGCGGUGGAAUGCGUAGAUAUUGGGAGGAACACCAGUGGCGAAGGCGACUACCUGGACGAAAACUGACGCUGAGGCACGAAAGCUAGGGGAGCAAACA